UACGAAGGGGGCUAGCGUUGUUCGGAAUUACUGGGCGUAAAGCGCGCGCAGGCGGUCUUCCAAGUCAGUGGUGAAAGCCCGGAGCUCAACUCCGGAAUUGCCAUUGAAACUGUGAGACUGGAGUACGAGAGAGGUGAAUGGAAUUCCCAGUGUAGAGGUGAAAUUCGUAGAUAUUGGGAAGAACACCGGUGGCGAAGGCGGCUCACUGGCUCGUAACUGACGCUCAGGCGCGACAGCGUGGGGAUCAAGCAGG
RNAcentral lists this ribosomal RNA (253 nucleotides) under uncultured bacterium. Its description in RNAcentral is "partial 16S ribosomal RNA". It matches the Rfam family "Bacterial small subunit ribosomal RNA", at positions 524 to 776 of the family's 1533-position model. The record is from RNAcentral.